This 300-nucleotide unclassified non-coding RNA is filed under the name Hevea brasiliensis (rubber tree). Lineage: Eukaryota; Viridiplantae; Streptophyta; Magnoliopsida; Malpighiales; Euphorbiaceae. The record is from RNAcentral.
AGAGAGAGAGAGAGAGAGAAGGUUGAUGUGGAUUUAUUUUUAUUAAAUUAAAAAUUACAACAGGAGUUCCACACAAGCCAAUAGACCAGAACACUUGCAGAAUCAUUUAAUAGGGAUUUUAAUGUGCUUUAAAUAGAAGUCGAGGAGUUUUAAGUGACAAAUUGAAGAUGAGGGACAAUAGUGUGAUAAGGGAUAUAAUUGAUGGACAACAAGUGUUAAGCCUAUAUGCACAGUGUAAAUAAUAAAAUCUCCGCCUAAGUAGUUUGUACUUAACCGGUCCCAAUCCCAAAUAAAGGAAAA